AUCGAUGUGGGAAACCAUGUCAUAUUAAGGCGAAUUGUCGAGUCAAAAUGCAAGAGAAAGCAGAAAAAGUUGUACUUGACAACAAUGAGUUUCAACAAUCAAAUUGGGAGUAAUGUUUAUCUAUUGAAGUAUUUGAUCAGCCAACAAAUGUGACUUCUCUUGUGCACCAAGAUGAUGCAUCAGCUGAUGCUCAUGCUUUUAUCAACUAUGACGAAGAGUGGAUUGUUGAUUCUGGUUACUCUCAUCAUGCUACCGGGAAUGAUACUAUUUUAUCGGAUGUUCGUCCAUAUCACAUGAAAAAGGU
This 304-nucleotide long non-coding RNA is filed under the name Gossypium barbadense (sea-island cotton). Its description in RNAcentral is "long non-coding RNA (GBAR_LNC000649)". Lineage: Eukaryota; Viridiplantae; Streptophyta; Magnoliopsida; Malvales; Malvaceae. The record is from RNAcentral.